Molecule: long non-coding RNA, 1714 nt
Organism: Cuculus canorus (common cuckoo)
Lineage: Eukaryota; Metazoa; Chordata; Aves; Cuculiformes; Cuculidae
Exons: 9
Source: RefSeq, a predicted model, not a curated record
GAAUCUUCCAGGUGCCUGAGGCAGUUUCAGAUCCAGUGGCUGAAGUUAAGCUAAAUUAAGCACCGUUGAAAUGCAGAGUGGGCAGGGAACAGCUUCCCUUCUGAAGUCCUGGCAGUGCAACUGGCUGUGCAAGUUGUAUCAGCCUGUGGUGUACCAGCUUGCAAACUGCACUUGUGGUCAUCUUCUCUGAAAAUGGCCAGAAGGGAACAAGAAAGGAUGGAGAGCAGGAAAACCAGGAGGCAUCUGGAAGGAAGAGAUGUCCAUACGAGGUGCAUAGUGAGGAUGGGCGUCUCUGAGGCUCUUGGAAGGUGUACAUGUGAAAUUGACAAGGACAAAGUAACAACUGAAAUGACUGGGGAGCAUUCAGCACAUGUUUGGAGCUGAGCAGAAAGGAACUCUAUGUUGGACUUUUGAGCAGUGCAUCAGCAGAGAAGACAAGGUGACCCCAGGACCUAGGGGUUAAUAAACUAGUACACAGCCAUUGCCUCCUUGGUGCACACGGCCACUGGCCCAGCAAACCAACUCAUCGUUAUGCAAAGAGGAGCUCUUUCCACUGAGCGCAGUGGCAGUACUCAUGCUACUCAUAAGCAGAGGCUGAGGAAAUGCCACAGAAGAAGGGAUUAUGGGAAUAAAAGGCACAUAUACAUGAACCUAUGGUCAUCCCACAGACCGUCUUCCAUUCACUUUGGAAUACUACUUCCUGUUGCCUAUUAAGGUGACAUCUGAAUUACAAUAUUUGCAGCCUUAGAAACAGUGUUUAUGUCUACAUGCGAAGGAAAUAAAAUGCCGUAAUUAAUUUUCUGCAUCACUGAAAUGGAGCUUCAGUCAAAUGGGGAAGGCAGACAGUGUGAAUGUCAAAGACAGCCAUCCUAGAACCAAGCCUCCAGCACUGUUUAGGAGCAAAAGAGUUGGCCCCACAAAUCCAUCACUUGGCUGGGGAAAAAGCUCUUGAUCAGGAACGUGGUCCCAAGAAGACGACUUGGAGAUUGAGGAAUAACGCAGGCCUGCUAGAGGGGAUGAUGGUGUUCAAGGGUGAGGAUCCUCAAGGAGAGGAGAUAUUUCCCUGCCGUCCUCAGUGAGUAUUGGAUAGAAAGAACUGUCUACAAGCAGGGACAAUGCUGCUGCAGGUGAAUUUAAAGAAGAAAAAAGAAGUUUCACAGUUGGAAAUACUGCUGAGAAACCUGAGAUCUUCAACUACUUACACAGAUGUCUUUGCUCCAAAGUCCUUUCUACUUAGACUACUCUGCAGAGCGCGUGGCUGCUUUAUGCGCCAUCAAUGGGAAGUGGGCACCAACUUGGAGAACACGAGGAACUGCUGCCUUCCUCUUCUCAAAGAAUGUUUUGUUUCCACUAAUCCAGAACAUUUCAGUAUAUUUAUAUUUGGUUUCUCUAAGGUGAACCUCAUCAUCUUUCCAUGUAUGCAGCUGUCAACGGGCAAUCUGGGCUCUUUAACACCUCAGAGAUGUUUUAGUAUUAUUGUCAUUUUCUGUGUCACUGAAUUUUAAAAUCACAAUUUCAUUUGUUGUAGAAUUUAUUGCGUUUAGUUGUCCUCCUUUUCUGAGGCUUAAAGAGUUUUUUUUAUGUCCCGAAAUAGUGACAAAAUCUACUCAGAAGGCCAGAGCUGUUCUUUGUGUCCUAAAUACGUAUGUGAAAAAUAUCAGCUAAUUACUGCUAAAUUAAAAUGCAAAAGAAAUAUCCAUUAUUUUUGGGUUAU